AUAUGUGAGGGCGAUCUGGCUGCGACAUCUGUCACCCCAUUGAUCGCCAGGGUUGAUUCGGCUGAUCUGGCUGGCUAGGCGGGUGUCCCCUUCCUCCCUCACCGCUCCAUGUGCGUCCCUCCCGAAGCUGCGUGCUCGGUCGAAGAGGACGACCUUCCCCGAAUAGAGGAGGACCGGUCUUUGGUUAAGGGUAUAUGAGUAGCUGCGCUCCCCUGCUAGAACCUCCAAACAAGCUCUCAAUCCAACCAUUUUUAAAUUUGAACUGGGUAUAUUUAUAUCAUUCAUGUUUAAUGACUAUAUGGAUAUGUUUAAAUCCAU
Non-coding RNA from Mesocricetus auratus (golden hamster), 318 nucleotides. Lineage: Eukaryota; Metazoa; Chordata; Mammalia; Rodentia; Cricetidae. The record is from Rfam.